This is an RNA transcript of Xiphophorus hellerii (green swordtail), 3245 nucleotides long. It is a transcript of the gene named butyrophilin-like protein 8, with no coding region annotated. The record is from RefSeq and is a predicted model, not a curated record. The transcript is spliced from 7 exons. Lineage: Eukaryota; Metazoa; Chordata; Actinopteri; Cyprinodontiformes; Poeciliidae.
CUUUGCAUGUAACCUCUCUGAUUAGGGUUACUUGAGUAGUAGCAUUCCAACAGAUCCACAUUUCCGUCUUGUUCCAGUAGCCCAUUUGUCAUCAAGGUGCUCUGGUUCCCCAACACCUGAUGCAGACCUUGUUUGGCCGGGCGACGACUGAGCAUCUUAGGCAGUAGACUGGAUUUGAACCCCCGCCCUCUCGGGUGAUAUACUGAUGCCUUAUCUAUUGAGCUAUCCAGUCAGCUAUAUAACUGACUGGAUAGCUAUAUAAAUAUAUAUAUGUGAGAGAGUAUACAGUAUAAUGUUGACAAAAUAAGAAAUUUUUAGAGUAAUUCCACAUGCACCUCUUGAUCUGAAUUUGUUUGCCAUCAGAACAAACUGACUUGCUCCAGAGAUCUCUUUCUUGUCCUUCUGGCUGGACUCUGAUCAAUAGUCGCUGCUUUCAAUAUGUUCAAAAAAGCAUGACUUGGGCAAGAGUCGAGGUGAUUUCCAAUAACAUUGUGCUCUUAAUUUCUUUUGUUCUUUGCUGAAGAAAUCCAGCUACUUCUAACUUUUGUGUCUGUAGAGAAACUGUCUGUCCAUGGGGGCAAACCUUGCAUCAGUUCAGGAAUUGAACGAGUACAAUCAGAUUCAGAUUAUAAUAACUGCAGCAGGUCACGGGGCCAAACAAGCAUGGAUUGGAGGCACUAAUGCACAGGAGGAGAGCAUUUGGUUGUGUAGCGAUGGAAGCCGUUUCGACUACACACACUGGUGUUCUGGACAGAAUAAUAAAGAUGGAGGCAACCAGCGCUGUUUACAGAUAAACUAUUCAGGUGCAAAGUGCUGGGAUGACCUGGGGUCUAAUCACAAUCUGCCUUCUGUCUGCGCCAAGAAACCCUGAAAACUGUGAGGUUCCCAAAGAGGCCAGAUUUAAAACAGAACCAGUGGAGGGAUGAAGAUGAUCUCCAGGAUCCUGCUGCUCCUCAUCCUCAGCUCAUGUCUCUGUGCAGCAACAUUUGUAGUGAAUGUGACACAGAGCAGCUAUCAGGCAGAGGAGAACCACAGCAUCACUCUGGAGUGGACCUUCACCACCAGACCCGACUCCUCUCUGUCCUCCAUGUUUAUCCUCUGUGAACUUCUAGAUCCCCCUAGAGAAUUGGUUCUGUGUCACAUCCAUGAAGGAGUUGAGUUUCCAGAUUCUCAGGAUGAACAGUUUUCAGGACGAGUCCAGAUUGACAAAGACGUCCUCAGAGAAGGACGAAUCAGACUCCAUGUGUCCAGACUGAGGACUGAAGACUCUGGUCUGUAUCUGUGUGACGUGAAAACUGAAGAUGGAUUCAACUCUGGAAGAUGUCGACUCAGCGUUACUACAGCUGCUGAUGUUUCUCCAACCCAGAGAACGACCUUGGAUCCAGAACCAGAAGGUCGAGGAAGGAUCGGCCUCCAUGUUUCUCUGUUACUGACAGCAGCAGCAGCAGCAGCUCUGAUGGUCAAACUUUUCCUGACUCUCAGUUCAAAGGGUUGAUAUGGAUGAUGAUCCUGUGGGCAGGAAGGAGCUCCAGUAGCAGUCUGUGUUGGACUGAAUAUGAAGAAGCCUCUGACUGAAGACUGUUGCUGUUUGACCAAUUCAUGGCUGCAUGACAAGCAAACAAGUCAAAUAUCAGACAGCAGAGAAAAUAGUUCACUGAAACACUGGAUGACAUCAUCAGGCUCUGCUAAUCCACCUCAUCAGCUUUUGCUUCUCCUCUGUAGAGAGAGAGUAGAGGGAAGGAGAGAGAGAACACUAACUAGAAAACUAGGAACAUUAAUCUAACUGCUAAUGAGCUACUAAACACAAGUAAUGAAUAAACAUAAAGUAGAAAAUGACUGAACUAAAUUAAACCAGAAUCCAGGCUGAUCUGAUCAGAACCAGAACUAAGAAUCCAGAAAACCCAAAACAUCUCAGGAAGCUGCUGAUAAAAAGCAACAAAUAUUUAAUUUAAAUUUCUGUUUCUGUUGGAUUAUCUUUGAGCAGAACUAUACAAGUAAAGGUCGUUUACAGUUUCCCCGUUCUAAAAACAAAACAUUGUUAUGGUUACGCAACACUACAAAAGUCCAAAAGUAAAAAAUGUAAGAAGAAAGAUCCCUGCAACGACAAACCCAGAGGGAAACCAAAACAAGAACCAAUCAGAGCCGACGUAGCUGAGCUGCUCCAACAUGGCUGUCAUGGAAGAAAUUACUUUAGCAAGAGUCUGGAAGAGAAGAAAUAAGGAAUUUAUUAAAACCUUGCAAGGUGAGAACAGAAAUACAGAGUCGUAGGAAUCUGUCAAGUCUGCUCUGACCAACAGUGGAUCUGGUUUCCUUUUAUAGGUUCUGGUCAGAGAAGAGAGACUUGAUUGGACUAUAGGUGUGAAUCCCUGAUUGUGAUGUACCAGAGAUUCUGUGGAGACCAACACAGAUAGUCUGGCCAUUUGUCUGUUGUUAAGGAAAGGAGAUGGUUCUCUGAUGCUAAAGGAUAAAUUCUACGUUGGGAAGAAACUUUUAGAUCGUCUCCAGGAUCAAGGAGCUCCUGCUGUUCUUUGGUACAGCAGAGGCCCAUCUGAGAGCAGCUUGACCAAAAUCAUGAUAAGAUCAUGCAGACAACCUAAAGCAGAAGAGAGGUGAGGAGAACCUUAUAACAUUUUCUAUUACGAUGGCGCCUCCAUGUUUUCUCUGUUUAUUGAGAUCAAACUUCUGGACUUUGGUCUCAUCGGUCCAGAGGAUUUUGUUCCAGGAGUCGUUUGGUUCAGUUCUGAUGACUUUGUCCAGUUCAGUCCAGAUUAAUGGACGUUUUUACACAAGUUUAUAAUUUAAGUAAAAACCAGCUGGUGAAACGUUUAUAAUAAAUGUUAUUUUUAUAAACAACUGAAUGAUUUUUAUAAAUGUUUUUAUAUGUAAAAUAUUUUAAUUUAGUGAAUGAAUGAAUCGUAGUAAAAAAAUGAACAGAGUCUUUCCAUCUGUUGUUUUGAAUCAACUUUAAAAAGUUUGUUGAAGCAAAUUUAUUGAAGUCAUUUUUCUCAGAGCUUUGAUUCAGAAAGUAUUAAAAUUCAGUCAUUUCAAAUGAAUCAACAUGAAUCUCAAUGAAAAGCUGCCAGUGAGUCGUUUUCUCAGCUUUCAGCUCCAAAAGGUUCUGUGGAUCAGAACCAUCCAGUUAUUAAAGCUGAACAGCUGAGAGGUUUUGUUACUGUGAUCAGUUUAUCUGCUUUGUUUUCUGUUUCUGCUGUUAAAAUGUAAAUAAAUCAGUUUUAUAGAAAGAU